AUAAUCUCUCUCUGCUGUAGAGAUUAACUGAGUUUGUAAAGCAUAUGUUAACUGUCUGGCACAGUGCUCUGCCCCUGAGGUUUUGUAAAUGCGGAAUACCACCUACUGUCUUGCUGGAAUGGUAAUUGUUCUUGGUUCUCAGUGGACCAAGGUUUCUGGAUCAGUGACUUGAAAGAAAAUCAUAUGGGAGCUUUUUGUCCAGGUUUUUAUUUAAAUGGGUCAGUUAGAGCUUCUCUGCCCAAUAUCUACUGUCUAAAAGAAUUCUUGUAAGUGCCGUCACUGACGCUUCAUUCACAGUAGAUAUAAAGACUAUACAGCUUUGCCUUCUGGUUUCUUCGUAUUCUUUUACUCUUUUGUGUGAAAUAUUAUUCCAAGUAAUUGACUGCUACAGAUUUCACUGCCUUAAGGGCCAACUCUAUACUUGCUUCUUACUAGACUGGGUAUCUCUGCAAUGCAUUCAUGUAUUUAGGACCUUUGGGUUAUGUGCCUCCGUGAUAAGUAAUCCCUAAUUGCUUGCUCUCGCCUUAUGGAUGGCAUCUUGGUUCUGAGAACCUUGUAGGGUGGGAUACCUGGGUUAUAACAGGAAAAGGAAGAGUGAGGAGAAAGGCCUGGAUUGAGUGGAAGCAGUUUCUCCCAUCAUUGGGAUUCAUUCUCAGGACCCCUGACAUCUUCAGGGGCAGCCACAUGGGGGAUGUUGCCAAGAUCCUGUAGUUAGAGCAAAGAAUAAAAUUUAUCUCUUAAAGUGAUGUUUAGGUUGACAGAGCAUUAUAUAAGCCAGAUAAAAAUCCCUGCCCUCAUAGCACUUACUUUGGUGUAGACCCUAACAAGCAGCAACUUAAAAAUGGAGUGUGUGGGAUGGACUUAGUCCAGGUGCUUCGGGGAAGAUGAGUGGGGAUGAAGGAUACGGAGCGCAGUUACGUUUGCAGGAUAGUUUGUUAUUUACAUUCAAUUAGAUUCAUUACUGUUAGAUCUGUGGGGAAUGCAUUCCAAGGCUGCUAGUGGGUAGUGCUGAGUGUUUGGCAGUAUAUUCUGUUUCCUGUAUAUGUAUAUCUAUGGUGAAGAUUAUAUAAGACAUUGCAAAAAGGCGACCAAAAACAAUUAUAGUAGUAUACCUUAAUAAAAUUAUUUGAAAGAUUUC
RNAcentral lists this long non-coding RNA (1138 nucleotides) under Mus musculus (house mouse). RNAcentral describes it as "long non-coding RNA chr14:99111676-99112814". The record is from RNAcentral. Lineage: Eukaryota; Metazoa; Chordata; Mammalia; Rodentia; Muridae.